Lates calcarifer (barramundi perch) is the source of this 2566-nucleotide long non-coding RNA. RefSeq lists it as uncharacterized. The transcript is spliced from 3 exons. The record is from RefSeq and is a predicted model, not a curated record. Lineage: Eukaryota; Metazoa; Chordata; Actinopteri; Centropomidae.
GACAUAUGGUAAGAUUACAUGAAUUCAAAAUAACCUACAAUUCCUUCAAAUUAAUUUGAAGCCAGUUUAAUUUUUUGAGCCAGCUUUGACAUCUGCAGAUAUGAGUUUCUGAAGAGGGGCCUGCUGAGGUUAGAUGUGCUGAAUAAUAUCCAUUUUCAUAUCAGAAAAAACACUGCAUUAAACAUUGUCUUAGCUCACUGAGCUGAGGUCAACAGGUAAUAUAACCAACCUGUGAGGUGGCUCACCCCCGUAAGAUAAACACAUAAAUGAUCCCUGAUAGAACCGAUAAUUAAAGGCACAUCAGUGACAGGGAAUGCUAUUAAAACUAAACUAUAAACUGGUGACAUUAACUGCAAAAGAAGAUUUUUAUUGAUACAUUUCAGGUAGAAUUUAGUUUUCAAUAAGGAAAAUGCUGUAAGAAACCUGAAUUUGUUGCAACAAAUUUAAAAUAAAAGCUUUUAUGCUAAUUAUUUUCUGUGAUAAUAUUUUUCAGAGCUCAUCAUCUGUGACAGCUCUUGGCUCUCCUGACUGUAACCUCCCUGUGGCAGCUUCUCACAGACUCAAUCAACUCCUCUUCCCCUCCCCCCUCAAACACACACACACAGACACACACACACAGAGACCCCCUUCCAAAAACCCAUCAAAGAGUAAUACAAUGGCUCCAUCUGUAGGAUAAAGUAGAGAGUCGCAACAGGAAGUUACCCCAAAAUCUGAGGUUUCAAACAGGAAGUUGGGUUUCUGAACUUUGACAGGCCAGAACCGGCACACGCUUCGACCAAAACUCACAAUUUUCGGAGGACUUCUUCCAAAAAUUGUCAAGGAGGGGCUGACAACAUUUGAAGUGAAUCUGGUCACCCGUCUAGAAACUGGACAUCACACUAUAAAAUAUGUCAUUUCCUGCUAUAAAUAGGUGGUGCUACAACAAUUGUAUGAAUAUUGACAUAUGGAUGUGUGCAGAUAGGUACCAUUAACAAUCCUGUAAAGUUUGAUGCAGUUUGGACAAAGUAUGGCCGAAAUAUAGCAAAUAUAAAGCAACUUCCUGUUUUGUGGCGAGUGAUCGAACUUUGAGGGGCCAUAACUUCCACGCCCUUCAAUGAAAAGUCCGAAACUUUUGCAAUUUAACUUCGUCUAUGUCUUAAGAACAAAUUAUCAAAUUUUGAAAUCAAUCGGAUAAUGCGUCUAGGACUAGUUCGCGUUCAAGCGACCCCUGGAAAUGGCCAAAAACACACAAUUUUUUCACCUUCCGGUCAAAAUAAAAAUACUUUCUGUUGGGUUUAGAAUAUGGCUCCAAGAGACUUUUUGGUGCGUCAUGGGAUGUUACAUAUGUGUGCAGAUUUUCAGAUUUUUAGGCGCAACGGGCUUGAGGGGCUGUUCCGUUUAAAAAUGUAGGUGGCGCUACCGAGGCCAUUUUGCCACACCCAUGCUCAAGACCCCUAAAUUCUUAAAUUUUUCGCCGUGCCUGACGCGUCUGCAAAUUUUCAGGAGUUUUGACGCAUGUUAAGGCCUUCAAAAAGGCAAUCAAAGAGGCGGAAAAAGAAGAAAAAAAAUAAUAAUAAUAAUAAUUAAAGCUGCGAGCAGCGUUGAACGGGCCCUCGCACCCGGCGCCCGUCGGGGGAGCGGCGACCGCGGGACCCCGGCAACCGCGGGGUCAACGCAGGUCGCAGGGCACACGCUGGCGUAACAGUUCACACUUCCGAGAUGUAAAAAUUUUAAAUAAAAGCUUUUAUGCUAAUUAUUUUCUGUGAUAAUAUUUUUCAGAGCUCAUCAUCUGUGACAGCUCUUGGCUCUCCUGACUGUAACCUCUCUGUGGCAGCUUCUCACAGACUCAAUCAACUCCUCUUCCCCUCCCCCCUCAAACACAAACACAAACACACACACACACACAGAUACCCCCUCCCAAAAGGAGAUAAAACUCAGUUUUAACUUGAGUUUACAAGCUUUGAGCUUUGAGCAAAAGCAUUUUUUUUAAGUUCUGUUAUUGGGUGCAUAUAUAAAUCAUUUAUGCUUAAACAAGGCUUAUAAUGAAGUUAUUUGAACAGUGAAUAUCUCAUCUGCCUAAAGUCAGGGCGAAGCCACUAACCAGCUGUAGGGAUGGGUAUCAUUAGGAUUUUAUCUUUAUCCAUACAGACCCCUAUCAGUCCAGCUCAGACUGUUACUGGUUUAAGAGAGUGAAGUUUAUAGCAAUUUGCAAAAUUUGGAGAUUAGUGACAAACUAACCAGUUAGACCACAUACAGACAAGCUUUCAUUUUAGCUGUUAGUAACAGUUUGCCAUGAGCUUAACCAGCGUGCUGUGCUUCGUGUUAAACAUGUCAUGAGACUGUGGACAAUGCUGAAAAUAUUACUUUACUAACUACUGGCCGAACAGGCGCUUUUACAAAGAAAAGGUAAAGGCCAGCAGCUUUUACUUUUCAAUGCACUUGUCGUCAACUUGAGUGGCUUAUAUUCAGCUGGUUCACCUCGACGCCGGUGGAUGUAGACGUGCACUUUUCCUGUCGCCGUACACUGUGUAACAUGAAAAUAUCAGCCGACCCCUUGUGAAAUUUCCUAACUGAUCAAAACCAAACU